UCCUUAACCCACUGAAUGAGGCCAGGGAUCGAACCUGCAACCUCAUGGUUCCUAGUUGGAUUUGUUAACCACUGAGCCACGACGGGAACUCCCCUUCAGUCCAUUUUAGAUCUUAAAAGGCAUGCACCUCUUGUACCUCUCCAAGUCUGAGAGCUGGCUUUGUCAAUAACCUGGGAAUGGGCUUAAGGUCAUUGGCAAGUUGGAAAGGCAGUCAGGGGACUUGAAAAGGACUGUACUAGCUAGAAUAAGGAGAGCAUUUCUGAGUUAAAUUUUGGGGAGAAAACAAGAGAGGUGGGCUAGAGGGCUGAUUUUUGUUUCUACUGAUUAGAACUGAAUUUUCAUCAGAACCAUCAGAUUGCUUUCUUGAUUAGAUCUAGCUGAAGUGCCAUGGGCCUCAGGUUGUGGAGAUGCUUAUGGAGAAUAAGAAGCUCUGGCCCACUUGAGGGCACCAGGUAGCUGCCUGACUGAGGAGUGGGAUUGGGGAGACAGUAUUUUAACUUUAUGCUACAAUUUAUCAUAUCUUAUGCUGUUAAAGUUUUGUAAUUUUUAAAUUAUCAUUAGCGUUGCACUAAACAUCUUUUUUUUCAUAAAUCUUUCACUUAUUUUCUGAGUGGCUUUCAGAUUUUUUUUUUUUUAAUGGCCACACCCACAUCAUAUGGAAGUUCAGGGGCCAGGGAUUAAGUCUGAGCUGCAGCCACAAGCCUUUAACGCACUGUGCUGGGCCAGGGAUUGAACCUGCACCUCUGCAGUGACCAGAGCUGCUGCAAUCAGAUUCUUAAAACCACUACACCACAGCAGGACAGACUUUUUAAUCAAUAGAACGUGAAUUGCAAUGUUAUCAGGAAGCUCAUCCAUUUCAACACAGUGGUUCUUAACCCUGGCUGCACCUUUAGGAAAAAAAAAUGCUAUCCAGGCCGCAUCCCAGAGUUGCAUUCUGUCUGCUAUAAUAAUGUGGACUAUAUAUCGGUAUUUAAUUUUCCUUAAAAAAAGGUUCCAGGUGGUUUUUACUUUAUAUUUUAUUAUUUUAAUUUGGCUUUUCAGGGCCUCACUGUCAGCAUAUGGCAAUUCCCAAACUAGAGGUUGAAUCAGAGCUACAGCUGCUAGCAUACAUCACAGCCACAGCAACUUGGGAUCCAAGCCAUGUCUUUGCCCUACACCACAGCUCAUGGCAACGCCGCACCCUUAACCCACCAAGUGAGGCCGGGGAUCAAACCGGCCUUCUCAUGGAUAUUAGUCAUGUUCUUAACCAGCUGAGCCACAGCAGGAACUCCCUCAGGUGGUUUUUAAUGUGUAGCCAGAAUUGAGAAUCACUGAUUAACCCCAGAAUUGGGACCCACUGAUUAACUAGGUGUCAAGGGCUGGCCCUAUGAUGUGCUCCGAUAAAAGUGUUGGUAUAAGAACAGCUACCCCGUCUGUCCCCACCAAGCAGAAGCGUGUGGUCUUACUUACCCCAGAGGUAGAGAGAAGUAUAGUAAUAGCCAGGUUAGAGAACUAGGUUGGAUUUACUGUGAUUGCUGAGGGACGAGUUAGUGAUCAGGGAGAUGUUUAAAGAAAGGAAAUUCUUGGGAGUUCCUGCUGUGGCUCAGUGGGCUCAUGAUCUGACUUGGCUCUGUGGAGGCACUGGUCCCAUCCCUGGCCCAGCAGCUAUGGCAUAGGUCACAGCUCCUGCUGGGAUUUGAUCCCUGGCCCAGGAACUUCCAUGUGCUGCAGGUGCGGCCGAAAAAGGAAAAAAAAAAUUCCUUAAUGAAAGUGUUAUUUAAUAAAUGUUGGCUUUGGCAUGAUUAGGUCUUUUUUCCAGCUUUAUUGAGGUAUAACUGACAUGUAGUAUGUAUGUUCAGGAGAUACAAUAUCUGUACUGUGAAAUGUUUACCACAGUAAGUUUGGUUAACUCAUUCUUCAUAUAAUUACGAUUUUUUUUUUUCUUUUUAGGGCCGCACUUGUGGCAUAUGGAGGUUCCCAGGCUAGGGGUCCAAUCGGAGCUGUAGCCACCAGCCUACGCCAGAGCCACAGCAACGGGGGAUCCGAGCUGCGUCUGCAACCUACACCACAGCUCACGGCAACGCCGGAUCGUUAACCCACUGGGCAAUGGCAGGGACCGAACCCGCCACCUCAUGGUUCCUAGUCGGAUUCAUUAACCACUGCGCCAUGACGGGAACUCCUGAGCUAUAUGUAUAUUUUAGAGAUUAAUCCCUUAUCAGUUGCUUCAUUUGGGAAGAUUUUCUUUCAUUCUGUGGAUGGUUUUCUGUUUUGCUUAUGAUUUUCUUCACUGUGCAAAAAGCUUUUGAGUUUAAAUAGGUCCCUCAUUUUUAUUUUCAUUACUCUAGGAUAUAGGUCCUAAAAGAUGCUGCUGUGAUUUAUGUCAGAGUGUUCUGCCUGUGUUUUCCUCUAAGAGUUUUAUAGUAUCUAGCUGUUUUAUAGUGUCUAGCUUUAAUCCACUUAUUUUUGUGUGUUGUAAGUGUUCUAAUUUCAUCUUUUUAUAAUGUAGCUGUCCAGUUUUCCCAGUACCAUUUAUUGAAGAGUGUGUUUCUACCUCCUAUGUCAUAGAUUAUUUGACCAUAGGUGCUUGGGUUUAUUUCUGGGAUUUCUGUCCUGUUGCACUGAUAUAUACUUCUGUGUCAGUACCAUACUGUUUUGAUGACUGUAGCUUUGUAGUAUAGUCUGAUGGCAGGGACCCCUAUUCUUCUAGCUCUGUUCUUCCUUCUCAGGAUUGUUUUGGCUACUUUGGAUUUUUGUGUUUCCAUACAAAUUUAAAAUUUUUUGUUCUGUUUUUUUUUGUUGUUGUUGUUGUUGUUGUUUUUAGCUAUUUCUUGGGCCAGUCCCGCGGCAUAUGGAGGUUCCCAGGCUAGGGGUCAAAUUGGAGCUGUAGCUGCCAACCUAUGCCAGAUCCACAGCAACGUGGUAUCUGAGCCACGUCUGCAACCUACACCACAGCUCACAGCAAUGCUGGAUCAUUAACCCACUGAGCAAGGGCAGGUACCAAGCCUGCAACCUCAUGGUUCCUAGUUAGAUUCGUUAACCACUGCACCAUGACGGGAACUCCUGUUCUGGUUCUUUGAAAAAUGCCAUUGGUAAUUUUAUAGGGAUUGUAUUGAACCUGUAGAUUGCCUUGGAUAGUAAUUUUGACAAUAUUGAUUCUUCUAAUAAUCCAAGAGUAUGGUAUAUCUUUCCAUCUGUUUCUGCCAUCUUUGACCUCUUUCAUCAGUGUCUUAUAGUCUUUACCUUACAUGUCUUUUGCCUCCUUAGGUUUAUUCCUAGGUAUUUUAUUCUUUAUGAUGUGAUGGUAAAUGAAACUGUUGCCUUAAUUUCUUUUCUUUAUUUUGCCUUUGUACUCACCACCUCUUCCCACAAUUGCUGGUUUUGAUAUCACAUUUGUAUAUAGAAAAUUUUCUACUUUUACUGUAUGUUUGCCUUUACCAGUGAGCUUUGCCGUUUGUAAUUUUCUUCUUUCUACCUGUGGCCUUUUCUGCCUAGAGAAGUUCCUUUAGCAUCUAUUAUAAAGCUUGUUUGGUAGUGCUAAAUUCUCUUAGCUUUUGCUUAUUGGUUAAACUUUUGAUUUCUGUCAAAUCUGAACAGCUUUGCUAGGUUUCAUCAAAAGAAUGAAAUUGGUGUCACAGAUGUGGAAAACUAGGGACCCUUGUAUGUUGCUAGUGGGAAUGUAAAAAUUGUGCAGCUGCUACUGAAAAGUUUGGUGGUUCCUCAAAAAGAUAAGUAUAGUAUUAAUGUAUGAUUCAGCAAUUCCGCCCCCAGGUGUGUACUUGAGAAAUGGAAAACGUCAACAAGGACACUUGUACACAAUUAUAGAGUAUAAUUUAUAUAAUAGGCGAAGGGUGGAAACAACCCAAAAUGUCCAUGAAUGACAAGAUCAGUGGAUAGUCAUAUAUGGAUACACACAGAUGUAUAUGUAGAUAUAUAUGGAAAAUUUUGAAAUAUGCAACAGUGCUAAGAAAUUACCCAAGCUAAUGAAAACACUAGCUUCUGCCUCAACUCUAUUUAUUGUUUUGUCUUUUGUCCUUUUAGGGCCACACCUGCGGCACUAUGGAGGUUCCCAGGCUAGGAGUCUAAACAGAGCUGUUGCAAUUGGCCUAUACCACAGCUCACGGCAACACAAGAUCCUUAACCCACUGAGGGAGGUCAGGGAUCAAACCUGCAACCUCAUGGUUCCUAGUUGGUUCCUAGUCCCACUGUACCACAAUGGGAACUCUGUGCCUUACUCUUUUUAAAAAGUGUUAAUUUAAAAAGCACUUGGGGUGGUCCCUUGGCUAACAAAUCCGAUAAGGAACCAUGAGGUUGCGGGUUUGAUCCCUGGCCUUGCUCAUUGGGUUAAGGAUCUGGCGUUGCCAUGAGCUAUGGUGUGGGUCACAAACGAGCCUCAGAUCCCGUGCUGCUGUGGCUCUGGUGUGUAGGCCCGUUGCUAUAGAUCCGAUUAGACCCCUAGCCUGGGAACCUCCAUAUGCCACAGGAGCAACUCAAGAAAAGGCAGAAAGACAAAAAAAAAAAAAAAAAAAAAAAAAAAAA
Molecule: long non-coding RNA, 4515 nt
Filed under: Sus scrofa (pig)
Lineage: Eukaryota; Metazoa; Chordata; Mammalia; Artiodactyla; Suidae
Description: lncRNA (ENSSSCG00050032355.1)
Source: RNAcentral